UCCCUCGUGCAGCGGGGGCAGUUGUGCUGGAGCGAGCUCCGAGGCGGACGUCCCAGGGCCACGCGGGAUGUCCUCUCCCUGCCCGGCGGGAGGGAGGUGGUCCAGGUCCGUGCACCUCCAUGCUCCUGUCUGGCUCUGCCCCUAAACCCACAGAGGCAGGACCUGCAGCUGCGGAGAGUUGACUGCAUUGUUCCAAAGCUGCAGCCCUCACUGAACAGAAAAAAUGUCCAUGAGUUGUUACCCCCAGGAUACUGAAGUGUGUCAGUGACAAGGACACAGCUACCCAGAAUGUUGAAGUAUCCCAGACACAACAGCACCAUCACACAGGAGUCCAAAGCAGCAGAUAACCCAAGCAUUGCCCUAAUUUGACCCUCUGGUCUUUGUGGGUGUUGCUCCUACCUGAAGAGACUUCAUCGUCACUGUUAUAGUCCGAAACGCUCUGCAAGACCCAAUCUUGAGAGACACAAACACAGACAGAAGCUGGAAUCAGGUUGGCUCUCCAGAAGAGAACCGGCAGGACGGUCCCAGUGUCUCAUCCCUUCAGUUGUUCCUCAGCACCUGAGGCAUUCUAGAAUACGUACAGUGUCCACUGGAUCCUGAGUCCACCUGCAGUCAGAGAAAGGAAGUCACUGUGAGAGUACCUUCAACUGAUUCCUUUGUUGGGGGCAUCCUGCUCUUUGGCAAGACAUGGAUUUUUCCGGCCUUCUGUGUGGAAUGGACAGUCGAUGUACUUGACCUCCGAAUUCCUUUUUGUCUAAAACUCUUUAGACAAGAACCUGGAACAGUAUGACAAUACAGACAGCUGUUGACAUCCAGCUGGCAGGAGACCACAGAGAAGUGAAAGAUUUUGAAACAACAAACUUAACAGAAGCAUCAAAAGUAGAAACUGAAUAAUACGGAUGACCAACUAUCUUUAUAAAUCUGUAGACAGCCUGGAAUGGGGAAAUGACAGUCCAUGAGGAGAGUGAUUAAGCAGAAGGUCCCGGAUGAAGCAGCAACAUCCCAGGAAAGGGGGUGUCUGGAUUGACAAGUGAGAGGAUAGAAUUACACACAGGGGCUUGUGACCUGCAUCUCAGCAAUCCUAAACAAACUUCCUGCCUAUUUCUAUCACAUCAAAAGAAGCUGAAAUGUCAAAAAAGAGACAGCACGCGCGGUGGGUGUCACGCAAUGUCCCUUCAAGAGAGCCGUUAUUGACUGGAUUAGUUUUGUGGGGCACAAAAUUUAUAACUCAGGACAUUGUAGGAAAUGAUAACGCAACCAGCCAGUGGUUCAUGGAGUUCAAGAGCUGGGUGUGUUUAGGGGAAGAGAGGAAGAGAGCCCUCCCCAUGCACUGCUGUCCUGAAUGUCUGCAGACAUGGAAAAAGCUGAGCCUCUCUGAGGAGCAAAAUCAAGAGGUGCAGGGAGGAAACAGACUUUAUUAAAAUAUUAAGCUGAUCACUAAGCAAAUAAAUGAGAAGAUAAAAACCAACCAGUCUUCGAGAGAGGAGAAUCACACCCAGCAUUGCUACGAUCUACAAUGUCUUUUCAAAAAAAAAAAAAAGUAAGCAAAAAAUCCAGGAAGGCAUGACCCACACACUGGGAGGAAAAAGCAGGCCAGGAAACUGCCUGUGAGAGGGCUCAGAUGUUGGACUUAGCAGAAAGAGACGUGCAUUGGGCCUUUUAGAAUGAAAAAAAAAAAAGUAGCAACCACAAGAAUGCUGGAGUGGCUGCUGUGCUAUCAGGCAAGAUAAACAACACGAAAAUGUUACUAGAGAGAAACAGGGACACUUAAUACUGUCAAAAAUAUAUAACAGUCCCAGAUAAAUAUCCAGCCAAUGGCAAAGGACCAAGAUACAUGGAACAGCACUGACAAAAUGAAGGGAGAAAUAGACAAGUCGACCAAAAUGGCUGGAGAUUUCCACAACCUGCUUUCAGAAACGUACAGAAAAAUUCGACCAAAGGUCAACAAGGAAGUGGAAGGUCAGAGCAACACUAUAAACCGAUUAUAUCUAACAGACAUCUCUGGAACACUUCAUCCAACAACGGCAGAAUAUACCUUCUUAUCAAGUGCAAAUACAACAUCCUGUAGACCAUAGACUCAACUAAGCCUAGAGAGAAUUAUUAAAAGCUGUAACAAAUUUAAAAGAUAGAAACGUAUAAAGUUCAUUUCCAACACAGAGUAAAAUGAAAAACCAGUAGCAGUAAAAAAUCGAGGAAAUUAAAAAGUAUGUGAAACUUAAGCAACACUUUUUUUUAAAAUUACAUAUUUGAGAGGCAGAGUUACAGAGAGAGAGAGAGAGAGAGAGAGAGAGAGAAUGAGAAACAGUAAGAAAUCCUCCAUCCUGUGGUUCACUCCCCAAAUGGCCACAGCAGCCAGGGCUUGUCCAGGCUGAAGCCAGGAGCCUGGAACUCCAUCGUGGGUCUCCCCUGUGGGUGGAACUCAACUACUUGAGAGCAUCACCCAGUGCAGCAAUAGCAGGGAGCUGGAUCAGAAGUGGAGCCUCUGGGACUCAACUGGGCACUCCUGACGUGGGGUGUGGGCAUCCCAAGCAAAGGCUUAAACUGCCGUGCCACCACACGCUCCUCACAAUUACUUACAAAAAUGCAGCUGUAACAAAGCACCAUGAAUCCUGCGGCAUAAUGCAACAGGAAUUCCCUACGUUAGAGCUGUGCAGGGUAGGAGUGGAAGUGGUCCUGGCCGGGCGGCCUUGCGUAGGGUCCCGUAAGCCUGCUCAGGUGUGGGCAUGGCUGCAUCCCUGUACUACAGACUCUGGGGAGGAGGCGGCUGCUGAGUUCAUCCAGAUUUUGGGCUGAACUCUGUUCCUCAAGGGUGUAGUACUGAGGACCCCCUUUCCUUGCUGUCUGUCACCUGCGGGCUGGUGCCAUGUUUCCAUGUGGCUCCUGUCUACAGUCAUGGGCUCCAUCUCUCUCUCGCCCCCUCAGCUCUCUCUGACCUGCCCUUCUGUGUCCCCUCUCUCACUCAGCCCAGAUUAAGUUCUCUGACUCCUGCCAUCAGACUGGGCCCACUGGUGUGGGGGUGCCUCUGGGAAGGCCCAUGGCCGUGACAUCAGUGACACCUGCUAAGGCUCUCCUGCCCAGCGACACGGUCACAGGACAUAGGGUGAGGACUGGAGGUUCUUUUGGGAGGCCACUCCAUCUACUACAGUCCUCUAAACAGGCGUUUCUUGCUGCCAUCCCACCACACUUAUUCUUUCUGGGUCACCAAGGACCUACACGUUACCAGAUCCAGCGGUCAGUCCUCAGUGUGGCUGGCGUUGGCCCUCUGUAACACUGGAUCUGCCUGACGCCUUUCUUUGCGUGAUGGUUUCAGCCCCUGCCUUUACGGUCCUUUGUCCCUGACAGCUCUUGGUCUGCUUUGCUGCUUCCUGCUUUAACCCACCGCCUGGAGCUGCCUGGCUCCAAGGCUCUGGUCUUGAAUCUGUUCUCCCUCCAACUAAGUGGUUGCACUUCUUCAAUAGCUUGAACAGCUAUAACUCUAUGAUUCCUGAAUGACCUGCUGGAGUGAUUGAGACUACUGGCAUUGUGGCAUCCCUGAAAUUAAGAACUGGCUUCAGUAAAACGCCGCCCUGCAUUUGACGCUGACUCAGCAAUCCAUGGUGCUGGAUGCAGACCAGGAGAGCUCUUUUCUCCCGAGGUGGACGCCCAAGAUGAGGAAAUCGCAUCAUUGGAAGUUGUCAAUCACACCCUGCUGAUCCAUGAUCCUGUGGAGCUCAAGAGAGGCUGGGGGAGGCAGAAGCAGUGCCUCUGCCUCUCUUCUAACUCAGCAAUUGAUUAUUGGGGUCUAAUACCAAGUGUAUAGCCACCACUUCCUCUCCUGAGUAUCAUAAAGUGUAUUUUCACUAUCCCUUACUAUAAAAGGUGACUUUUUUUUUAAAGGUUAUAUUUAUUUAUUUGAAAGGCAGAGUUAGAGAGUGAGAGUGAGAGAGAGAGAGCUUCCAUCUGCUGGUUCACUCCCCCCAUGGCUGCAAUGGAUGGAUCUGGGCUAGUUCAAAGCCAGGAGACAGGAGCUUCUUCUGGGUCUCCCACAUAGGUGCAGGGGCCCAAGGAUUUGGGCCAUCUUCCACUGCUUUCCCAGGCCAUAGCAGAGAGCUGGUUUGGAAGUGGAACAUCCAGGACAAACUGGCACCCAUAUGGGAUGUCGGCACUACCUGCUAAGGCACAGUGCCGGCCCUUUUCUUUUUGUUUUGCAACUGUUUUGACUCUUUAUUGAUCCAAAAGGUGUUCAUGGAGGGCCCAUUCUUCACUGUGCCCCCACAGAGAAUACAAUCAAGAACAGGACAGGUAGGGAGCUUACAGACAGGUGACGAAUAAGAGAGAGGGAAGUGCAGGUUGUGAUUAGGGUUUGAGAUAAGAAGAGAGACAGGGCACCUCCUGGAGAAGAAGCCAGGACAGUGUGGAGAAGCAUCAUAGGAGAGGACCUGAGAUGACAGCAUUUCAACUCAACCUCAUGGAUGAGAAGCAGCUGCCAUCGCCACACUGGCAUCCCCAGAAUUCUUGGCUGAGUGAUCAGCAUGCCUCAUGAGGAUACAGCUGAGCCCUCUGGAGGGGGGGGCUUCAUGCAGGGCUGAUGCGACUGGAGCCCAGUGCAUGGGGACACUGUAUUGCUUGCAAGUCUGAAGGCGUGCUCAGGGCACAAUGUCAGACCUCCAGGCCAAGGUGCACUCAGGGCCCUCCUCACACAGGUCACUGUAGGCCCUGGUGCGGGGCCACAAUGUUACUCUGCAGGGUUUUGCAGCAUGGGACUGAGCAUGUCACGUCACUGUUUGUCAUGCCUGGUUCUGACUGCCAGUAGAUGAUGGUUGGAAGGCAAGGCCAUUGUGAAGCAGGUACCCAGUCAGCCAAGGGUGUAGCCCUGAUCUGCAAUACCUGGGAUCUGUUCUGGGAGUGGCUGUGACCUUGGAAGAAGCAGUGGACAGAGCUGCAGUAUAGGCCGGAGACCUGGCCUGCUGGGUGCACUCUCCUCUCAGCCCGGAGCACAGAUGCAGUGACUACUCUGCCUUGAAAGCAGCAAUUUCGGGGCCGGUGCUGUGGCGCAGCAUGCUGAGCCGGUUUGUGUCCCAGCUGCUCCUCUUCCAAUCCAGCUCUCUGCUGUGGCCAGGAAAAGCAGUGGAAGAUGGCUCAAGUGCUCUGGCCCCUGUACCCAAGUGGGAGACCCUGAGGAAGCUCCAGGUUCCUGGCUUCGGAUUGGCGCAACUCUGUCCUUUGUGAUCAUUUGGGGGGUGAACCAGCACAUGGAAGACCUCUCUCUCUGUCUUUCCCUCUCUAUGUCUGUAACUCUACCUCUCAAUUAAAUCCAUCUUUUUUUUUUUUUUUGACAGGCAGAGUGGACAGUGAGAGAGAGAGACAGAGAGAAAGGUCUUCCUUUUCCAUUGGUUCACCCUUCAAUGGCCGCUGUGGCCGGUGCGGCCGGCGCACCGCACUGAUCUGAAGCCAGGAGCCUGGUGCUUCUCCUGGUCUCCCAUGGGGGUGCAGGGCCCAAGCACUUGGGCCAUCCUCCACUGCACUCCCGGGCCACAGCAGAGAGCUGGACAGGAAGAGGAGCAACCGGGACAGAAUCUGGCACUCCGACCGGGACUAGAACCUGGUGUGCCGGCACUGCAGGCAGAGGAUUAGCCUAUUGAGCCACGGCGCCAGCCAAAUAAAUCUUUAAAAAACCCAGAAAAAACAAAAAACCUGAGCCUGAAAAGUAAUCCCUUUGAUCCAAGAUCAUAUAUUUUGUAUCUCUUAAUAAGAAAAUUUUAUAAAUAUAUAUUUAAAUAUUUAUUUAUUUGAAAGGCACAGCUAUGAACAGAGGGAGAGACAGAGAGCGAGUAAGAGAGAGAGAGAGAGAGGGAGAGAAAGAGGUCUUCUAUCCACUGGUCCACUGAUGGCCAGGAAAUCCAGGGCUGAACCAGGCUGAAGACAGGAGCUAGGAGCGUAAUCCUGGUCUCCUAUAUGAGUUCAGGACCCAAAUACUUGGGCCAUCUUCUGCUUUUCCCAGGCCAUUAGCAGGGAACUGGAUUGGAACUUGAGCAGCUGGGACACGAACUGGCAUGAUGGCAUUGCAGGCAGCAGCUUAGCCCAGCCCCCUAUAAAUAUUUUUAGAAGUCACAAUAAGUCAGGCACUUUAAAAAAUUAUUUGUGUGUGUGUGUGUGUGUGUGAGAGAGAGAGAGAGAGAGAGAGAGAGCAAGCUCAUCUUCUGGUUCACUCCCCAGAUGCCUAUAACUAAGGCUGAAGCCAAGAGCCAGGGACCCAGUCCAGGUCUCCCUUGUAGGCUGCAGGGACUGAAAUACUUGAACCAUCCACACUGCCUCCUGCAGUCUGCUUUAGCAGGAAGCUGAAGUCAGGAGCCAGGGCUGGGUAUUGAACCCGGGUCUCCAGUGUUGAAUAAGUGUGUCUUAACUGCUGGGCCAAACACUCAUCCCCAUCAUGCACUUUUUUUUUUUGACAGGUUGAUUUAUAGACAGUGAGAGAGAGAGAUAGAGAGAAAGGUCUUCCUUCCAUUGGUUCACCCACAAAUGGCUGCUACGGCCGGCGCUGCGACAAUCCAAAACCAGGAGCCAGGUGCCUCCUCCAGGUCUCCCAUGCGGGUGCAGGGCCCAAGCACUUGGGCCAUCCUCCACUGCCUUCCUGGGCCACAGCAGAGAGCUGGACUGGAAGAGGAGCAACCGGGACUAGAACCCGGUGCCCACCCCGUCAUGCACUUUAAAACCUUUCUUCAGUCUCUCAAAUACUUUUUGAACAAAACAAGACACAGAUAAUAAAGGAAUGAACGGUUUUCCAAAACAGCAGUGUCU
This is a non-coding RNA of Oryctolagus cuniculus (rabbit), 6777 nucleotides long. NCBI's taxonomy places the organism in Eukaryota, Metazoa, Chordata, Mammalia, Lagomorpha, Leporidae. The record is from RefSeq and is a predicted model, not a curated record.